UCAGAGAUAUUCACCCACGUGAUCUGCACAUGUAUCUGUAUGACCCUCUUAUUGCUGACAAACUCAGUAAUAACCAAUGAAACUUUUAGAAUGGUGGCGCGUGGUCGAGGGUGUUCUAAUCUAACUUACCCAUCUUGUGGCCAUUACAGAGAAUUACUAGCAACAAACUAGUUAACACAGUGACGUAAAAAGUUACUUGAUCACUUGGCACAACAGGGAACGCUCAGUCAUCUCUGUACUUACUGUUUUUUUAUAUGAUUAUCUUACAUUUAUGGCCUAGAAGUGUUUGUUAUGCAAUAUUUACUGUAAUGACUUUACUACAACUAAUUAAUACUACUAUUUAAAACUUUACUGAGCGUUUUGACUUGUAGACAAUUCAUGUUACUUCACUGCAGUAGGAAUGGAAGUCUGUCGUCAUUCCCCUGUAUUAAAAGAAAUUGGUGUCUUGGAUGGAAAUGGAGAGGGAGACAAGAGGUAUAAAAAUAUGAAGAUGGCUGAAAACUGGCCUGUGGAUAUUUAUGUACUUGUCUAUUAGGGAGGGGCCAUUAUUUGUAAACAUAUGUGUAGUAUUAUACUAUUACUGGUAUAUUACAUUCCAUGUCACGUGAGAGUGGAGUUUAAAACUAAAUGAAGAGAAUUGUCUGAGAAAGGCAAUCAAAUUAGGCAUUGUGUUGAACGUUUAUGAACAUAAGUGCACAUGUCAUUGCAGAGCGACUACACGUCAGAGUCUACUGAAACACUAAGAUUCCAUAACAUCUUUAAUACUGCGAAGGGAUGAGACUGUUUAUAUUCUUCGGUGCUGCUGUUUUGGCUAGCAACUUAGUUGUAAUGGGCUUAAUGUCAAUGUGCGAACAAUAACGUCAAUGAACUGAGAUAAGUAUACACUGUUAGACAUUCCUGUAAGUUCUACAGUUCUUUACCACAUACCAUACAGUAAGAUACUUUAAAAUGAUUAUACAGUAAUUAACUACAGUUGCCACUGCAUCAUGGGAUUUUGGUUGACGUCACACAGAGUUAAGAGUAUUUUGUAGCAUAAGCCGCGUGGCUCCAAGCAUGCAUUGCAUCAUGAAAUGUUGAACUGCCAUAAUAAAGAUGUUAAUACUUCAUGUUCAUCAACGAUCAGGAUUAACGUAGCAUGUAUAAUGUGUGUUUAUGUUACCGGUAGUUUGUUGAAUGUGUGUCUUAUUUAACUCUCGCGUUACAUUUUACUGUAUGUUGCACUUUGUUUUCAUGAAACCCUCACUGCGGGUUGUGUGCGAUAGAGUGACAUCCCGGUCAGUGAUAACAGUUACCUGCUGACUAGCAACUGCAUUAUGUACAAGUGUAAACUUUCUUGUGAUUAUUCCAUUUGGACCACUUCAUCUGCAAACCAAAACAGCUCCCUUUUUCCUCAUACAACUCAUCAGCACCGGAAUAAAAAUAUUGAGAAAAUAUUUUUUAAAUAGUAACUCUCUGUUUAAAGUGUGAUGUCAAACAAAAUCCCAUGAUGCGGUGGAAACUAUAUUUAAUUAAAGUAUAAUCACUUUAUAGUUUGUUACUGCAUGCUAUGUGGCAAAUAACUAUAGAACUUACAGUAAUGUCUAAGUGUCCUGUAAUGUAUGUUCUCAGCAUGCAUUGUAAUAUUCAUGGAUCCACAGCAUUUAAGCAUUUCGGUUUAAAUAACAAGAGACGUAUAUAACGAGACAGAUGCAAAAAAAAAAAAAAACGAUACAAGAAAGAAUGAUCAUAGAAAUCUAUUGUGUAGAAAUACCCAACACUAACAAUGUGGCACCGCUACAGAAAAGCAUACAUGUAGAUUUGGUAGUAUCAGUAUGUUUCCAUUGAAGGAAGCUCAUUGUAGAGGUCAAGAGACAGGAGCCAAUUGUUGCGUUCCUAGAGUGUCACCUGAUUCAGGUAAGCUAAUCGACUCGUAUUGAGCAAAUAAUGAUUCAUAGCUGGUGUAUGAGUAUAUUGUAUCAAGUGGUGCAUGACUCUAAUAUCCAAUUCAGACUACUCACCACCCACUUUUUUUUUUAUUUUGUUUUAUUUUUAUUUUUUUUUACAAUAACUUACUGACAGUCUUGCCAGUAUGUUACUGCACAUUCAAGUUUGCAGUCACUUACUGGCAAGUGUUGCCAGUAAGUGACUGUAAAUUCAAAUUUAAAUGUAAGCCUUUACUAUAAAAUUGGAAGGAUUUUGCUGUAAAUGUGGUCCAGUAUUAGACUGUAUUUUUACUAUGAAGUAUAUUACUGUAAAACGCAAUGCACCAUGGGAGCAAGAGCAAAAAAAUACAGCACUACUGUAAUCCUUAAUUUUUACUGUAAAUUGUGUUGUAUCAUGGGAAGGAGGACAGAAAAGACAGCGGGAAAUAUAAGAGCUGCCAUGGUUUUCUUCCCCGGAAAGAAUUUUUUUUUUCUGCCAGCCAGCAACUUGGACAACUUCAAUUCGACAUCUGCCACCUGAAGAUAACUUGCCAGUUUGAUGUCUGAAACUGAUGUUGCACUUGCAGCCACACAGCCCACGCCAGCUAUAACGUGCAGCUGACCAUCUUGCCCGACACCCCACGUUUGAUUUUCAAUGAGAAUAAAAUAUGGGCAGCAACAUCUACUACUGUAUCUUUCAUACAGAGUUGGGAGUGGCAGCUGCUAUCAAAAUGAAUACACAGUGUUUUUCUAGAAGCUGCGCUGACAGAAAUCCAGAGAGGGGAACCAAAGCUAGGAAAGAUCAGGCACCAAGCAAGAAGAGCGGCAGGAUGGUGCAAAACAAGGCUGCAUCUCGAAUCCACGUCAGCGCACUCAUCAAGAAGUUUGGUGAUUUCAAGUGGGACUUUGUGUGCUUUUACGCGCACCCACAAACACAUCCGUUGUGGUUCUUGAUAUAUAUAUAUUUUAUUUUUAUUUUCACUUUACAGUUGUUAAAGUCACUAGUGUUAAGCUUGUCCAAUGCUGUUAGACUUUCAAUAAAAAAUGUUUGAAAAUGAACUACCUUUCUUUUGUCUUUGUCAUUGAUGAUGAUGAUGGUGGUGAUUAUCAUAAUAUGAUAUAUAUAUAUAUAUAUAUAUAUAUAUAAAAUUAUGAUCAAUAACUGGUGAUAAAAAUAAAUAUUGAUGGAUAAAUAAAAAUAAAUAUUGAUGGAUAAAAUAUUAUACAAACUAUAAAUAUUCAUUUAUUAUUGUAAAACAAAUUACAGUAUAUUACUGGAUCACUCAAUAUUACAGUAUUUUAUUUGAGGCAGGCAUUUAUUUGUCUCAAGUGGAUGACGCAACUAGCUAAUUGUUUUUGUUUUCAAUC
Long non-coding RNA from Phyllopteryx taeniolatus (common seadragon), 3269 nucleotides. RefSeq lists it as uncharacterized. The transcript is spliced from 3 exons. NCBI's taxonomy places the organism in Eukaryota, Metazoa, Chordata, Actinopteri, Syngnathiformes, Syngnathidae. The record is from RefSeq and is a predicted model, not a curated record.